UACGUAGGGUGCAAGCGUUAAUCGGAAUUACUGGGCGUAAAGCGUGCGCAGGCGGUUUUGUAAGUUUGUCGUGAAAGCCCCGGGCUCAACCUGGGAAUUGCGAUGAAGACUGCAAGGCUUGAAUCUGGCAGAGGGGGGUAGAAUUCCACGUGUAGCAGUGAAAUGCGUAGAGAUGUGGAGGAACACCGAUGGCGAAGGCAGCUCCCUGGGUCAAGAUUGACGCUCAUGCACGAAAGCGUGGGGAGCAAACAGG
Molecule: ribosomal RNA, 253 nt
Filed under: uncultured bacterium
Lineage: Bacteria
Description: partial 16S ribosomal RNA
Rfam family: Bacterial small subunit ribosomal RNA
Source: RNAcentral